CUACCCUUGACAUGUCCGGAACUUGCCAGAGAUGGCUUGGUGCCCGAAAGGGAACCGGAACACAGGUGCUGCAUGGCUGUCGUCAGCUCGUGUCGUGAGAUGUUGGGUUAAGUCCCGCAACGAGCGCAACCCUUGUCCUUAGUUGCUACGCAAGAGCACUCUAAGGAGACUGCCGGUGACAAACCGGAGGAAGGUGGGGAUGACGUCAAGUCCUCAUGGCCCUUAUGGGUAGGGCUUCACACGUCAUACAAUGGUCGGUACAGAGGGUUGCCAAGCCGCGAGGUGGAGCCAAUCCCACAAAGCCGAUCGUAGUCCGGAUUGUUCUCUGCAACUCGAGAGCAUGAAGUCGGAAUCGCUAGUAAUCGCAGGUCAGCAUACUGCGGUGAAUACGUUCCC
RNAcentral lists this ribosomal RNA (396 nucleotides) under uncultured bacterium. RNAcentral describes it as "bacterial SSU rRNA". It matches the Rfam family "Bacterial small subunit ribosomal RNA", at positions 975 to 1375 of the family's 1533-position model. The record is from RNAcentral.